GCAUGACUGAAUACGGUGUUCUUUUUCUUACACAGCCAGACACCGUGCAAAAGUAAAGUCUUCCCUUUGAAAUGCCUGCGAUGACUGAUGAAUGGAUACAGAA
This is a small nucleolar RNA of Suricata suricatta (meerkat), 103 nucleotides long. NCBI's taxonomy places the organism in Eukaryota, Metazoa, Chordata, Mammalia, Carnivora, Herpestidae. The record is from Ensembl.